Molecule: RNA transcript, 2867 nt
Organism: Lagopus muta (rock ptarmigan)
Lineage: Eukaryota; Metazoa; Chordata; Aves; Galliformes; Phasianidae
Gene: RAD51C
Gene name: RAD51 paralog C
Exons: 9
Source: RefSeq, a predicted model, not a curated record
CGCGCAUGCGCACGGGCCGCUCCGUCAGAGCCGCGCUGGCGCCGCGCAGGGCGGUGUGCGCGGUAUGCAGCGGGACGUGGGCAGCCUGCCGCUGAGCCCCGCGCUGCGCGCCCGCCUGCUGGCAGCCGGCUUCCAAACAGCGCAGGAGCUGCUGGAGACCGGUCCGUGCGGGCUGAGCAAAGAAAUUGGGGUCUCCAAAGAAGAGGCACUGGAAGCAUUACAGGUUGUCAGGCAGGAAUGUACUGGCGAUGCAGCAAAGACGGCUGGGGGGUCAGACAGCACCAGGAAGUGCACAGCUCUGGAACUUCUGGAAGAAGAGCAAGCACAGGGCUUCAUCAUCACCUUUUGUUCAGCGCUGGACAACAUUCUGGGAGGUGGUGUGCAACUGACAAAAAUUACUGAGAUCUGUGGAGCACCUGGUGUUGGGAAAACACAACUAUGUAUGCAGCUGGCAGUGGAUGUCCAGAUCCCGGAAUGCUUUGGGGGUGUAGCUGGGGAAGCAGUGUUCAUUGAUACUGAAGGCAGUUUUAUGGUAGACAGAGCAGCAGAUAUUGCAGCUGCCUGCGUGCGGCAUUGCCAGCUUAUUGCUGAAGCUCAUCAAGAAGAAGAUCAUCUUAAAGCUUUGGAGACUUUUUCUCUGGAAAGUAUCCUUUCUCACAUAUAUUACUUCCGUUGCCGUGACUACAUAGAGCUUCUAGCACAGGUCUAUCUCCUCCCAGACUUUCUUUCAGAGCACUCAAAGGUCCGACUGGUGGUAAUUGAUGGAAUUGCCUUUCCCUUUCGCCAUGAUUUUGAGGACCUCUCGCUUCGAACACGGCUUUUGAAUGGUCUGGCACAGCAGCUGAUCAUCAUAGCAAAUGAUCACAAAGCAGCGGUUGUUCUGACAAACCAAAUGACAACCAGGUUUGGACAAAACCAGUCCAUGUUGGUACCUGCAUUAGGAGAAAGCUGGGGACAUGCUGCUACCGUGCGUUUAAUCUUUCACUGGGACAACACUCAGAGGUUGGCAACAUUGUACAAAUCACCGAGUCAGAAGGAGUCAACCAUACCAUAUAACAUUACAGUUAGUAUUUCUCUUGGGAUGGAGAUACAGAGAUGGGAACGAAGUGUUGGAUGUAAAGAAAUUGUCAGACGCUGGCAGACCUGAGAAUGCUGUUCGCUUUCUUCGUGCUGCCUUUCAGCUUCUUCCUGAAGGUAGCCAGGAACACCAGGAUGUUUCCAGAUUAACCAUCAGAUUUACAGGCAACCUGUGCCCAUUUCUGCUUGUCCCAGUGCUGCACAGUUUAUCUGCCCUUCAUGUCAACUCUUGGCCUAAGUACAAUUACAGAGGAGAGUCUUGCACUUGGAGCCUUCCUUCAGGAUGCCAAGCUGCUUUCUCCCGUCACAUUGUUUGUUUCCCCAGUGGCUGGGGAAACUGCAUCUGUUCCGAUUUGUCAUUUUUAGGGCAAGGCUGACCAGAAUCAUUCACGGCAUUCCAGAGACCUCCAGAUCUCUGCCUGUUCAUUGCCUGACACAACACAGGUUGUACUUCUGUCUUUCACAGCUCUGUCCUACUGGUGACCCUAUGGCCAGGCCAUAUAUACAGAAGUAUGUAUUUUUUCUUCUGUUGUUACUGUAUGAUGAGAUUCCAGCUGGAGUCCUCAUUCAGCCCUAGGGAAAUCCUGUGAUAGUUUACUUUUGUUGAGUGCUUAAAUACAUAUUGAGAAUAUAUAUUGUUUAAGCUGAUUAUAGGUUAAAAAACAAGCACUCCGUUCUUGUGUCUUCAAAUGACAGAUACAUAGGUACAUGCCAUAACUGUUUGCUCUGUGUCCUCAUGGAAACACGUUGCCAUAGCAUUUCCUGCAGAUUUUAAUGCUGCCCUAAAAUGAGGUCCUCAAGAUAUUGAGCAGAAUUCAUGGGUUUUUUUUCCAGCUCUAAAUGCUCCCACUAUUUUUAGUUACUUAUUUAUUUGUUUACCAGUUCUGUAAAGACUGGACAGGAAAAUGGGACCACAUCCCAAGGUUGUUCAGAUCAUGUGAUGCAGCUGUGCAGCCCUGUCUGUGCAGCUGCCAAAUAUUGGAUUCUCUUAGUUUAAUUGCCAUUUCAGCUUUAUGCAAAUUAUAGAACAGCUAUGCUGUCUUCAUCCACAUGAAUGUACACAAUCUUGAUGUAUACUAGAGAGCGUAUCUUAACCAAAGAUUACUUACAACUUCAGACUAGCCCUGUGUUUUUUCCUUUAAUCCUGCUGAGCUGCUUCAGAUGUUUCUAUGAGUAAAAAACGCAUUAUCAAUGUUUCUGUCAUGAAAAGCAGGUCUGAUAAUAAUUGUUUGCUGUUACCAUUUCUCAUUCUCAUCUCAGUAGUUAAACUGGAAGAUGUAAAUAUGUGUUCAGUGCUUCCAAGUAUGAUGCAGGACAUCUGUGUAUAAACAGCAGACAAUUUAAAAAAACAACAACAUCUAAGAUGCAUAGGAUUAUAGCUGCCAUUAAAUUCAGUGCAAAUCAGAUAGUUUGGUACUUCUGACAUCUGGUUGACCAGUGCUUGUACACUGGUGGAGAAGUAUGGGACUGAGUGCCUGAAGCUCCAGUUCUUUUCCAGCUGUUUCUUUUCCAGCACAUUGGCAGAUCAGCCACCAGUCUGAGCAAGCCUGGAAGCUAUGGAACACCUAUCAAAUAAUUCUUUCAUAGGCUGAUGAGGAUUCAUUCUUAAGCGCAGAGUAUAGAAAUGUGAAUUGAUUUAAGCACAAAGGAGUAAAUGGCUCAUCUGAUUCAUCUAAAUUUCCCAGCCUCAGGGCUUCCGAGAUGUGCAGCCUCCACCUGUCACCCAAAAUGCAGAAGGUACUGAAAUGAACCCUCGCAAACGGCCACGGAGAGAAGAGGAAAAGCAACAG